UACGUAGGGGGCAAGCGUUGUCCGGAUUUACUGGGCGUAAAGAGCGUGUAGGCGGCCAAGCAGGUCCGUUGUGAAAACUGGAGGCUUAACUUCGGAAUUGCCUUUAAGACUGCAUCGCUUGAAUCGUGGAGAGGUGAGUGGAAUUCCGAGUGUAGAGGUGAAAUUCGUAGAUAUUCGGAAGAACACCAGUGGCGAAGGCGACUCACUGGACAUGUAUUGACGCUGAGGUACGAAAGCGUGGGGAGCAAACAGG
Molecule: ribosomal RNA, 253 nt
Filed under: uncultured bacterium
Lineage: Bacteria
Description: partial 16S ribosomal RNA
Rfam family: Bacterial small subunit ribosomal RNA
Source: RNAcentral